Molecule: long non-coding RNA, 1967 nt
Filed under: Homo sapiens (human)
Lineage: Eukaryota; Metazoa; Chordata; Mammalia; Primates; Hominidae
Description: HSALNT0254853
Rfam family: mir-7 microRNA precursor family (bases 1562-1648)
Source: RNAcentral
AGCCUGCCCAGUAUAGCACUACAAUAAGCUGAAUUUUAUAAAUUGGGUUUUGAGUUAAGGAAUCAAAAGCUUCAGGCUUAAGUCCCACCUCUGCCCCAGAGUCUUCUGAGCCCUCCAUUUUCACAGACGUCAGUUGCCCUAGGUGGAACUGGACUUUAAUAUUCUCCACAUCCCUUAUUUUUUCCCAAAACAGUUUACCAGCUUUUUCUUUCCUGAACCAGGAGCAAUAGCAAAAAUUGGGAAUGGGAAGAAACAGGUACCAGCCAGGACACCUGAACGAACUUGGAGCUCAGGAACCCAGGAGGGGAUUGGAGAGAGUGGGGAGACUCCAUGGUCCACAAUGAAUGCUCCUUCCCCAUCCGAAAAAAUCCCCUAGCCCAGUUUUUGGGCAGAUGCCAGACUUUUAUUCUGAAGCGUGGGCCACAACCUAUGAGGUAAUCUUUGGAGCUUCAUUCUGAGGCGGAAUCCCAUUGGCCAGUUGGGGAAGCCCCUCCCAGGAUUCCUGGCGCUCCGCCUUCCCUGAAGCCUAUAAAAGCGCAGGUCCCCGCCUCGGCAGCCACGGGACACCUGCAUCUGCCAACAAGACUGGAAGCAGGUGAGGCACACAGAGGGGGAGGCCCGCAGCUGCGUGGGAGGAGGGGUGGUCUGAGGGACGUGGGAUGCCGGGAAUGAGGCUGGUUUGCAGGUUGGCGCAUGGACAUUUUCCCAGAAAGGGACAGAGACGGCGAAGUUUGACGGUCUGGAAAGCAGAGACCAGCAGGGCUGACUGCUUGGGAGGUAAGUUCUGGGGACAUGGUACAGGGUGAGGAGCAGGUAUCAGUGCUAGUUGCGACCCCUCUGUGUCUCCCCCCCGCCACCCCAUUGCCAUUCUGAAGCUCCCCAGGAAGAAGCUAGGAGGGGAAAUAAAUUGAGUGGGGGUGGGGUUUCCCAAGAAUCGGAGGAACCGAGAACGAAGAGGGGUGGGGGAACGGGGAAAGAGAGAGGAAAAUCAAGUUUUCUUCAGCACGAGGGACAGCUCUCCACCGACCGAAGGAGGAGAAUGCUAUUUAUUUCAGCACCAAAUAUCCGGACAGCGCCUCUCGGGAGGUCCGAGAAGAGAACCGCGAUCUGUUUCAGCACCGGGGCUCAGGACAGUUCCCAGCGGGCUCCGUUUCGUCUCCAGAACCCUGGACAGCUCCUCCAGUAGAGACGGGGUUUCACCAUGUUGGCCAGGCUGGUCUCAAACUCUUGACCUCUUCAUCCGUCCACCUCAGCCUCCCAAAGUGCUAGGAUUACAGGCGUGAGUCACUGCGCCUGGCCCAAGUCCGGAAUUUUCAACAGGACAUGGGUGUUACUGUGCCCAUGUGACAUUUGGGGAACCCAAGGCCCUGAGAAAGGCAGAAAAAUAACCCACGCAGGGACUCUCAGCCCACAAGUGAAGCUGAGAACCGGGAAUGGAAAACAGGGAGGCAGCACAGAGGCAGGAAACUCAGGUGUCAUAGCUUGGCUCAGGUGAGAAGGAGGAGCUGGGCAGGGGUCUCAGACAUGGGGCAGAGGGUGGUGAAGAAGAUUAGAGUGGCUGUGGUCUAGUGCUGUGUGGAAGACUAGUGAUUUUGUUGUUCUGAUGUACUACGACAACAAGUCACAGCCGGCCUCAUAGCGCAGACUCCCUUCGACCUUCGCCUUCAAUGGGCUGGCCAGUGGGGGAGAACCGGGGAGGUCGGGGAAGAAUCGCUUCCACUCGGAGUGGGGGGGCUGGCUCACUCCAGGCGAUACAGGCACAGGCAAAGGAGGGAAGCAAACAAGGACAUACAUCCUGUGCUCAUACAGCCAUGCACCAUGUAUGGGGUUUGUCACAUCACUCGUACGCCCCCACAAGCCUGGAGAUAGAACAUACCUGACUCUAAACCCAAGACCUCUAACCACCUUAUGGCGCUUUCCUGGGAGACCCAAUGAGGGAAUGACAUUUAAAGCCCUCCCUAGACCAG